RNAcentral lists this transfer RNA (102 nucleotides) under Neonectria ditissima. It matches the Rfam family "tRNA". From Rfam's summary of the family: Transfer RNA (tRNA) molecules are approximately 80 nucleotides in length. Lineage: Eukaryota; Fungi; Ascomycota; Sordariomycetes; Hypocreales; Nectriaceae. The record is from Rfam by way of RNAcentral.
GGUGAGAUGGCCGAGUUGGUUAUGGCGCCAGGUUAAGGAUAACCUUAACAUCUAAAUCUCCUGGUGGAGCAAUCCUCCUGGGUUCAAGUCCCAGUCUCAUCA